CAACUUGAAAACUGGGCCAAUAAUCAAAAAUCUAAGUACAUUUUUAGAUUCAGCAUAUCAAAGAACCCCAAGGAUUCAAUUUUUUGUUAAAAUCAAACUAAGUUUAAUUUUGGACCCUUUGGACCUUAAUGUAGACCAAUUUGAAAACGGGACCAAAAAUUAAGAAUCUACAUACACAGUUAGAUUCGGCAUAUCAAAGAACCCCAAUUAUUCAAUUUUUGAUGAAAUCAAAACAAAGUUCAAUUUUGGACCCUUUGGGCCCCUUAUUCCUAAACUGUUGGGACCAAACCUCCCAAAAUCAAACCCAACCUUCCUUUUAUGGUCAUAAACCUUGUGUUUAAAUUUCAUAGAUUUCUAUUUACUAAUACUAAAGUUAUGGUGCGAAAACCAAGAAUAAUGCUUAUUUGGGCCCCUUUUUGGCCCCUAAUUCCUAAACUGUUGGGACCAAAACUCCCAAAAACAAUCCCAACCUUCCUUUUGUGUUCAUAUACCUUUUGUUUAAAUUUCAUUGAUUUCUAUUUACUUAUACUAAAGUUAUUGUACGAAAACCAAGAAUAAUGCUUAUUUGGGCCCUUUUUUGGCCCCUAAUUCCUAAACUGUUGGAACCAAAACUCCCAAAAUCAAUCCCAACCUUCCUUUUGUGGUCAUAAACCUUGUGUCAAAAUUUCAUAGAUUUCAAUUUACUUAAACUAAAGUUAUAGUGCGAAAACCAAGAAAAUGCUUAUUUGGGCCCUUUUUGGCCCCUAAUUCCUAAAAUGUUGGGACCAAAAACUCCCAAAAUCAAUCCCAACCUUCAUUUUGUGGUCAUAAACCUUGUGUUAAAAUUUCAUAGAUUUCUAUUCACUUUUACUAAAGUUAGAGUGCGAAAACUAAAAGUAUUCGGACGACGACGCAAGACAACGACGCAGGACGACGACGACGACGCCAACGUGAUAGUAAUAUACGACGAAAAAUUAAAAUUUUUGCGGUCGUAUAAAAACACACAGAAGACAUUUAGGUCUUCAACAAUAUAAAC
RNAcentral lists this long non-coding RNA (1015 nucleotides) under Mytilus galloprovincialis (Mediterranean mussel). Lineage: Eukaryota; Metazoa; Mollusca; Bivalvia; Mytilida; Mytilidae. The record is from RNAcentral.